ACUAUUGAUGAAAGAUUUAAAGUGCUUAGACAAAUUAAUUGGGAAACACUGUCCAAAGAUCAUGCUGUGAAGGAGACUGCUUCUACUGUCUAAUUGAGAGAAUUCACCUUCACUAUGGUUUUGGACUUCACUUUAGAGGCUUCUUUUCAUGCUUUUUUUAUUUUUUUUGUGGAUUUUUUACAACAAAGAAAACUAAUUUUGUGAUUUACUGAGGGGUGUUUAGUCAGAGAAACAUUUGUUAUGAGUUCUAUUUUAAUUAGAAUUUUGAUAUAAGUCGAAGAUAAAAAAAUGAUCAUACCAUCAAGGUGAGUUAGGGUCACCUGACCUUUUUAUAAAGAGUGAAUUUAUUUUAUAUGUAAUAACUUCUUUUAUGAGGGAUGAAGAAAGAAACAAGUAAAAAAAGGGAUGUAUGUAUAGACGAAUGGGAAUUUAUUUUUUUUGGUAGAGGAAUGGGAAUUUUUUUUAUUCAAAGCUAAAAAUGAAUUAAUUAAAAAAUAAGUGUACAAAUAUAAAACCAUGCAGCUGAAAAAGUAUUCAAAUAUAUAAUAGAGUAAAAUUGUAGGGUAAGUAGGUGUUUUGCCCACACCAUUAGGGCGAGUUUUGUUUUGCUUUAUCC
Molecule: long non-coding RNA, 616 nt
Filed under: Trifolium pratense (red clover)
Lineage: Eukaryota; Viridiplantae; Streptophyta; Magnoliopsida; Fabales; Fabaceae
Description: long non-coding RNA (TPRA_LNC007149)
Source: RNAcentral